UACGUAGGGGGCAAGCGUUGUUCGGAAUUACUGGGCGUAAAGGGCGCGUAGGCGGCACGACAAGUCGGGAGUGAAAGCCCGGGGCUCAACCCCGGAGGGUCUCUCGAAACUGUCGAGCUAGAGUGCGGAAGAGGCAAUCGGAAUUCCCAGUGUAGCGGUGAAAUGCGUAGAUAUUGGGAAGAACACCGGAGGCGAAGGCAGCUCGCUGGGACGGUACUGACGCUGAGGCGCGAAAGCGUGGGGAGCGAACAGG
RNAcentral lists this ribosomal RNA (253 nucleotides) under uncultured bacterium. RNAcentral describes it as "partial 16S ribosomal RNA". It matches the Rfam family "Bacterial small subunit ribosomal RNA", at positions 524 to 776 of the family's 1533-position model. The record is from RNAcentral.